UUAAUUUAUUUUCUUUUUUUACUCAGACAAUAUUCAAUAGUAAAGAGUUCAACUUUGGCAAAGACUCACUCACAGCUUUGAAGCUAUCAGUGGUUUAGCAGAAGCCAAAGCGCUCUGCCAAAGAUAUAGAUUUGAUACACAAGGGUGGGAGUUGGGCACAAAAGAGUGACCCCAAUCUCGGUAAUGAUCCUUCCGCAGGUUCACCUACGGAAA
RNAcentral lists this unclassified non-coding RNA (213 nucleotides) under uncultured fungus. Its description in RNAcentral is "sequence contains ITS1". Lineage: Eukaryota; Fungi. The record is from RNAcentral.